Molecule: ribosomal RNA, 639 nt
Filed under: Streptococcus pneumoniae
Lineage: Bacteria; Bacillati; Bacillota; Bacilli; Lactobacillales; Streptococcaceae
Description: bacterial SSU rRNA
Rfam family: Bacterial small subunit ribosomal RNA
Source: RNAcentral
ACGCGUAGGUAACCUGCCUGGUAGCGGGGGAUAACUAUUGGAAACGAUAGCUAAUACCGCAUAAGAGUGGAUGUUGCAUGACAUUUGCUUAAAAGGUGCACUUGCAUCACUACCAGAUGGACCUGCGUUGUAUUAGCUAGUUGGUGGGGUAAGGGCUCACCAAGGCGACGAUACAUAGCCGACCUGAGAGGGUGAUCGGCCACACUGGGACUGAGACACGGCCCAGACUCCUACGGGAGGCAGCAGUAGGGAAUCUUCGGCAAUGGACGGAAGUCUGACCGAGCAACGCCGCGUGAGUGAAGAAGGUUUUCGGAUCGUAAAGCUCUGUUGUAAGAGAAGAACGAGUGUGAGAGUGGAAAGUUCACACUGUGACGGUAUCUUACCAGAAAGGGACGGCUAACUACGUGCCAGCAGCCGCGGUAAUACGUAGGUCCCGAGCGUUGUCCGGAUUUAUUGGGCGUAAAGCGAGCGCAGGCGGUUAGAUAAGUCUGAAGUUAAAGGCUGUGGCUUAACCAUAGUAGGCUUUGGAAACUGUUUAACUUGAGUGCAAGAGGGGAGAGUGGAAUUCCAUGUGUAGCGGUGAAAUGCGUAGAUAUAUGGAGGAACACCGGUGGCGAAAGCGGCUCUCUGGCUUGUAAC